UACGGAGGAUGCAAGCGUUAUCCGGAAUGAUUGGGCGUAAAGCGUCCGCAGGUGGCUGUGUAAGUCUGCUGUCAAAGAGCGAAGCUCAACUUCGUAAAGGCAGUGGAAACUACACGGCUAGAGUGCGUUCGGGGCAGAGGGAAUUCCUGGUGUAGCGGUGAAAUGCGUAGAGAUCAGGAAGAACACCGGUGGCGAAGGCGGUUGCCUGGGGCUUUGCUGACGCUGAUGCGCGAAAGCGUGGGGAGCGAUCCGG
RNAcentral lists this ribosomal RNA (253 nucleotides) under uncultured bacterium. RNAcentral's name for it is "partial 16S ribosomal RNA". It matches the Rfam family "Bacterial small subunit ribosomal RNA", at positions 524 to 776 of the family's 1533-position model. The record is from RNAcentral.